This 660-nucleotide ribosomal RNA is filed under the name uncultured bacterium. RNAcentral's name for it is "bacterial SSU rRNA". It matches the Rfam family "Bacterial small subunit ribosomal RNA", at positions 187 to 848 of the family's 1533-position model. The record is from RNAcentral.
ACAUGUCCGCAUGAUUAAAGGUAUUUUCCGGUAGACGAUGGGGAUGCGUUCCAUUAGAUAGUAGGCGGGGUAGCGGCCCACCUAGUCAACGAUGGAUAGGGGUUCUGAGAGGAAGGUCCCCCACAUUGGAACUGAGACACGGUCCAAACUCCUACGGGAGGCAGCAGUGAGGAAUAUUGGUCAAUGGGCGAUGGCCUGAACCAGCCAAGUAGCGUGAAGGAUGACUGCCCUAUGGGUUGUAAACUUCUUUUAUAAAGGAAUAAAGUCGGGUAUGCAUACCCGUUUGCAUGUACUUUAUGAAUAAGGAUCGGCUAACUCCGUGCCAGCAGCCGCGGUAAUACGGAGGAUCCGAGCGUUAUCCGGAUUUAUUGGGUUUAAAGGGAGCGUAGAUGGAUGUUUAAGUCAGUUGUGAAAGUUUGCGGCUCAACCGUAAAAUUGCAGUUGAUACUGGAUGUCUUGAGUGCAGUUGAGGCAGGCGGAAUUCGUGGUGUAGCGGUGAAAUGCUUAGAUAUCACGAAGAACUCCGAUUGCGAAGGCAGCCUGCUAAGCUGCAACUGACAUUGAGGCUCGAAAGUGUGGGUAUCAAACAGGAUUAGAUACCCUGGUAGUCCACACGGUAAACGAUGAAUACUCGCUGUUUGCGAUAUACGGCAAGCGGCC